RNAcentral lists this ribosomal RNA (461 nucleotides) under uncultured bacterium. RNAcentral's name for it is "partial 16S ribosomal RNA". It matches the Rfam family "Bacterial small subunit ribosomal RNA", at positions 28 to 523 of the family's 1533-position model. The record is from RNAcentral.
GAUGAACGCUGGCGGCGUGCCUAAUACAUGCAAGUCGAGCGGCAGCACGGUCUUCGGACUGGUGGCGAGCGGUGGACGGCUGAGUAACGCGUAGGAACGUACCCCAAAGUGAGGGAUAACUGCUCGAAAGAGUAGCUAAUACCGCAUGUGAUCUAAGGAUUAAAGCUUCGGCGCUUUGGGAACGGCCUGCGUCCGAUUAGCUAGUUGGUGAGGUAAAAGCUCACCAAGGCGACGAUCGGUAGCUGGUCUGAGAGGAUGAUCAGCCAGACUGGGACUGAUACACGGCCCAGACUCCUACGGGAGGCAGCAGUAGGGAAUUUUCCACAAUGGGCGAAAGCCUGAUGGAGCAACGCCGCGUGCAGGAUGAAUGCCUUAGGGUUGUAAACUGCUUUUAUAUGUGACGAAUAUGACGGUAGCAUAUGAAUAAGGAUCGGCUAACUCCGUGCCAGCAGCCGCGGUAA